RNAcentral lists this long non-coding RNA (228 nucleotides) under Gossypium barbadense (sea-island cotton). Its description in RNAcentral is "long non-coding RNA (GBAR_LNC000725)". The record is from RNAcentral. Lineage: Eukaryota; Viridiplantae; Streptophyta; Magnoliopsida; Malvales; Malvaceae.
AAGAAGGAAGUGUAAUGCAGUGGCCAGCAGCACGGGCGAAGGCGCAAGGACGGACGAAGGUCUGGGGUUCGAGCCUCACCUCACGUACAGAAGGCUUGGUUGUUUGCUGAACGAGUGGGGAAGGAGUUGGGGUCUGAUCAGGACUCCUGGCAGCAUGCUGAAGCGGUGCAAGGGGUGGAUAAGGAUGCUAAUAAUCGGUGGAAGAGUUUGAGCUGAUCAGGGGAUUGG